This 274-nucleotide ribosomal RNA is filed under the name uncultured bacterium. RNAcentral describes it as "partial 16S ribosomal RNA". It matches the Rfam family "Bacterial small subunit ribosomal RNA", at positions 523 to 796 of the family's 1533-position model. The record is from RNAcentral.
AUACGGAGGGUCCAAGCGUUAUCCGGAUUCAUUGGGUUUAAAGGGUCCGCAGGCGGGAAAAUAAGUCAGUGGUGAAAGCCUACAGCUCUACUGUAGAACUGCCAUUGAUACUGUUUUUCUUGAGUAUAGAUGAAGUGGGCGGAAUAUAUCAUGUAGCGGUGAAAUGCAUAGAUAUGAUAUAGAACACCGAUUGCGAAGGCAGCUCACUAAACUAUUACUGACGCUCAGGGACGAAAGCGUGGGGAGCGAACAGGAUUAGAAACCCGAGUAGUCC